Molecule: non-coding RNA, 1084 nt
Organism: Peromyscus maniculatus bairdii (prairie deer mouse)
Lineage: Eukaryota; Metazoa; Chordata; Mammalia; Rodentia; Cricetidae
Source: RefSeq, a predicted model, not a curated record
GACUAUUUUAGCGUUUUUGUUGUGGUAGUUUGGUUUCGUUUGGUUUGGUUUGGUUUUUGUUUUGCUUUGUUUUGUUUUUUGUUUUUACAAUCAAUACAUUUUGUAGGACCGUUGACACACAGAACCCCUAAUUUGGAAUAAUAGCUUUCUCAAAUACUUUGUUCAGGAGAAGUUGACAGGCUAUGUGUCCAGUAAAUAGUUAAGAUGAUUUAAAAACAUCAAAUAAUAUUUAUUAGAUAUGGCGCUGGCCAGCGUUUUGGAGCAGUCAGUGCCGGUGAACCAGCAUGGUUUUUUUGGACUCAGAAGUCAGAAAGAUCCGCUGGAACUGGGUCUGGGGAGUCCUGGUGAUGGGCUGAACCUUGCUGCACCAAACUAGGGUGUUCUAGAAGAGCCAAAAAUCGAAAUGUUUCAUGGAACCACCACGCUGGCCUUCAAGUUGUGCCAUGGAGUCGUUGCACCUGAUUCCUGGGCCACAGCAGGUGCUUAUACUGCCUCCCAGACAGUGAAGAAAGUAAUAGAGAUCCACCCUUACCUUCUGGGCACCAUGGCUGGGGGUGCAACGGAUUGUAACUUCUGGGAGCAGUUGUUGGCUCAGCAAUGUAGAAUCUUUGAGUUUCGAAAUAAGGAAUGCAUCUCUAUGGCAGCGGCCUCCAAACUUCGUGCUAACAUGGUAUAACAGCACAAAGGCAUGGGACUGUCCACCGGCACCCUGAUCUGUGGCUGGGAUAAGUGAGGCCCUUGCCUCUACUGUGUAGACCGUGAAGGGAACAGCGUUUAGGGAACUGUCUUUUCUGUGGCUUCUGGCUCUAUGAAUGUUUAUGGGGUCAUGAAUUGAGGCUACUUCUAUAACCUAGAAAUGGAGCAGGCAUAUAAUCUGGCCCUCUGAAUCAUCUACCAAACCAUCUACAGAAAUGCCUACUCCCGAGAUGCACUCAACCUCUACCACAUGCGGGAGGAUGACUGGAUCCAUGUCUCUAGAGACUAUGUAGCUGAUUUACACAGGUAUAGUGCACCUGUCCCUGAAGGAAAGUGGAUAUGGCUGUUUGCACCUGUUUGGGUAGCUCUCAUUGGUUAUAAUACAUAA